AUCAUGUUUCCACAGCAAAUUUUUGAGUCAUCAAAACCCUUUCCUCUCCCAGGGAGAAGAUUGGACAACAGUAUCACCACUUGCUGUUCUUUGGAAUUACGGCCGUAAGCUCUGGGGACUGACACAUAUCUGAUACACAGAAGGGAAGGCUGUGCAUAUCAGCAUCAGCCUACUUCCACCUCAUUAUUUCCUCAGAAUGGCUGUUUCCAUCCAAGUGAUUAUUUGAGAGCUUUUGACUGAAAUGUGGGCACACAGGUCUUUUCUCCCAAACUUCCAUUAUAACCAUGGUCUGGAAUUUGUUAUCGGGACCAAACAACAAAACCAAUGGAGGGGGCCUGUGCAGCCAAGAAGAGAAACGUUUGUGUUCAACGUUGAGGAUUUGAAGCAGAUUUGAUUGAGGGUUCCAAAAAAAUGGUGCUGCUUUGUGAAGUUGCAUUGUGAGCUCUUGGCUGGGACCGUGACGGAAAUGCUUCCAGAGGAAAAAGCCCCAGAGAAAAUAAAUGCUAAAGAUGUCUUCA
Molecule: long non-coding RNA, 518 nt
Filed under: Cyanistes caeruleus (blue tit)
Lineage: Eukaryota; Metazoa; Chordata; Aves; Passeriformes; Paridae
Description: lncRNA (ENSCCEG00000012159.1)
Source: RNAcentral